Molecule: ribosomal RNA, 252 nt
Filed under: uncultured bacterium
Lineage: Bacteria
Description: partial 16S ribosomal RNA
Rfam family: Bacterial small subunit ribosomal RNA
Source: RNAcentral
UACGUAGGAGACGAGCGUUGUCCGGAAUACUGGGCGUAAGGCGCGUGUAGGCGGAUGGGCAAGUCUGCUGUGAAAGCUCCUGGCUUAACCGGGAGUGGUCGGUGGAAACUGCCAAUCUGGAGGACGGUAGAGGUAGGUAGAAUUCCCGGUGUAGUGGUGAAAUGCGUAGAGAUCGGGAGGAAUACCUGUGGCGAAGGCGGCCUACUGGGCCGGACCUGACGCUGAGACGCGAAGGCGUGGGGAGCGAACGGG